RNAcentral lists this ribosomal RNA (629 nucleotides) under Staphylococcus aureus. RNAcentral's name for it is "bacterial SSU rRNA". It matches the Rfam family "Bacterial small subunit ribosomal RNA", at positions 196 to 813 of the family's 1533-position model. The record is from RNAcentral. Lineage: Bacteria; Bacillati; Bacillota; Bacilli; Caryophanales; Staphylococcaceae.
AAAAGUGAAAGACGGUCUUGCUGUCACUUAUAGAUGGAUCCGCGCUGCAUUAGCUAGUUGGUAAGGUAACGGCUUACCAAGGCAACGAUGCAUAGCCGACCUGAGAGGGUGAUCGGCCACACUGGAACUGAGACACGGUCCAGACUCCUACGGGAGGCAGCAGUAGGGAAUCUUCCGCAAUGGGCGAAAGCCUGACGGAGCAACGCCGCGUGAGUGAUGAAGGUCUUCGGAUCGUAAAACUCUGUUAUUAGGGAAGAACAUAUGUGUAAGUAACUGUGCACAUCUUGACGGUACCUAAUCAGAAAGCCACGGCUAACUACGUGCCAGCAGCCGCGGUAAUACGUAGGUGGCAAGCGUUAUCCGGAAUUAUUGGGCGUAAAGCGCGCGUAGGCGGUUUUUUAAGUCUGAUGUGAAAGCCCACGGCUCAACCGUGGAGGGUCAUUGGAAACUGGAAAACUUGAGUGCAGAAGAGGAAAGUGGAAUUCCAUGUGUAGCGGUGAAAUGCGCAGAGAUAUGGAGGAACACCAGUGGCGAAGGCGACUUUCUGGUCUGUAACUGACGCUGAUGUGCGAAAGCGUGGGGAUCAAACAGGAUUAGAUACCCUGGUAGUCCACGCCGUAAACGAUGAG